Long non-coding RNA from Gallus gallus (chicken), 1416 nucleotides. NCBI's taxonomy places the organism in Eukaryota, Metazoa, Chordata, Aves, Galliformes, Phasianidae. The record is from Ensembl.
AAGAAUAGCCGUCAGAAAAGGCUCCUUUAGGCUCUGACCCACCAACUCUGUCGUCAUAUGGAAUCAUCCCUCGCCUUACACCACACAGGGUGGAUGAGGGACAGUCCAGAGCGUAUUUAAAAUGAAUUCAGCACACAAUGACGACCCAGCGAAAUGUAGUCGUUAUAAGCAUGCAUACAUUUUCAAGAGACAGCGUGGGAUUGGCAUAGUGUCUGUGCACUUGUUUGGGUCCAUCCUGAAGCCACCUUCCAGCUGCACUGGCAAUAACCCACCAAAGCAGAGGGGGAAGUUUGUUAUUUGCGCUCGUUCAUUUUCACCGACUUAAGCAAAAAACUGCCAGUCACGUCAAAUUAAAUUAUACGGUUUUGUAUUACCAUUAUAUUUAUAUUACACUAUAUUACCGUAGCUGAAUUAGACUAUUUUCCAUGGGGUCUAGGCUACGACUACUGAAUUUAACUCACUUUACGCAAGAGUUCCCUUUAAUUAGGCUUGAGCUGAGAGAAGAAUUGCUCUGACUAGCACUGCAGACCACUACAGCAGCAGAAUACCACAGUCUUAAAUUACUACAGAAGAGAUAUCCAUUGUCUGGACAACUGAGACUGGGCUGACGAUUCCAGUAAUUGUACUUAUUGAACAGCUUGGCCCUGGGGACGUAGCAGUCCCUGGAUGGGUUCCCACUUACCAUUAUUGGAUUAACCUGGCUGGACUGCCUCCUUCCACAACUCUGCAGCCCGUCAGUCAGUCGCUCACCAGCUCUCAGGUUCCUCACAGGAGAACUUCUGACACUCCCCACUGCUGCUCCUGGAAAUGAAAGUUGUUGGUACUGUCAGUUCAGUGCCUCAUUAUGCUUAUUUCUUAACCUUGCCACCAGCUGUUGGUGCUUAAAGUGGCAAAGAGGCAUCGAAAGAAGCCUCACCCUGAUCAGAAACAUGUGGUGAAUCCAAUAACAACAAAUAAUUAACUCAACCUGUGAUAAAAAUGCAUUGUUUUUCAUUCGUUAUCACCACAAGCAGCAGCCUUGAUCUCUUCAUUGAGACAAAAGCUUUCUUGAUAAUCAUGUAGUCGUUGGCAUGAUCAGAUGCUAAAGUUACCCAAAGCAUUGGUCCUUGAGCAAAACCAAACUUCCAUGACUGCAAGGUGAACAUAUGCUACUACAGCACUCUUGUGGGUCUCUUCUCGUUCCAUCUUAACUCCUGGGAUGCACAGAAAUGACAAUGGGCACUGAGAGAGCAGCACCACAACCUGAGCCUUUCAGGUGUUGCUGCAGCUGCUAAAGAAUGGUUUCACCAUGUUACUGUGGAAGUCAAAUGUAAUCACACACACACAUGCACUUAAAAAAAAAAAAAGAAACAAAACAAAACAAACAAAAAAAAAAAACCGAACAAACAAAAAAAAAGCCCCCAAAACUCCAAUCUU